GGGGAUUUAGCUCAGUGGUAGAGCACUUGCCUAGCAAGUGCAAGGCCCUGGGCUUGGUCCCCA
This 63-nucleotide transfer RNA is filed under the name Rattus norvegicus (Norway rat). It matches the Rfam family "tRNA". Rfam says of the family: Transfer RNA (tRNA) molecules are approximately 80 nucleotides in length. Their secondary structure includes four short double-helical elements and three loops (D, anti-codon, and T loops). The record is from Rfam by way of RNAcentral. Lineage: Eukaryota; Metazoa; Chordata; Mammalia; Rodentia; Muridae.